UGCAAGCGGGGAACCUUGAGCUACCUACGCCAGCGUUCUGGAUUAUUUUCCAAAUUUGGUUUCUGAUAAUCUGAGAAAGCUAUGUGCUCAGUAAGAGCAGGGACGUUGUUUUAUCAAACUUUGAUCUUUCAUAAGGCACACAGUGGGCAUUCAACAAACUUGUGUAAACUUGGAAUCAGAUUUAGCCCAGGCCGGUGCGGUGGCUCCUGCCUGUAAUCCCAGCACUUUGGGAAGCCGAGGAGGGCGGAUCGCUUGAACUCAGGUGUUCGAGACCAGCCUGAGCAACAUAGCGAGGCUCCGUCUCUACAAAAAAUACAAACACUAGUCGGCCCCGUGGUGCAGACCUGUAGUCCCAGCUACUGAAGAGGCUGAGGUGGGAGGAUCCCCUGAGGCCGGGCGGUCGAGGCUGCAGUGAGCUGAGAUCGGGCCUCUCCAUUCCAGCCUGGGUGACAAAAAAUCCAGCUAAGUAAAAAUUGGCAAGAUGCUGUUACAAGAUCCUGUGACAAGAUUCUGUGAUCAAGACAAAGUUUUGCCCCCAAAGGACUUGAGGCCAUCUGGGAAUUCCAUGUUUGACAGAAGCGCUGACAGCAUAACCAAGCAAACAAGAAGGUAUUCAGGGACGCUGAAACGGAUCUUCAAAGAAGACUCAGUGGGUGAUUUUUAAUUUCUGUGUGGUAUUAUAGAGCUUAAUGCAGAACAUACCAAAACCUUGGAGAGGUAAUGAUAGGGUCAUGCAUUUCAUAAGGCAGAGUAAUGCCCUGCAACAACAAAAUAAAAGUCAAAAAGUUCUA
Molecule: non-coding RNA, 791 nt
Filed under: Pongo abelii (Sumatran orangutan)
Lineage: Eukaryota; Metazoa; Chordata; Mammalia; Primates; Hominidae
Source: RNAcentral